AGUGCUGCAUGGCUGUCGUCAGCUCGUGUCGUGAGAUGUUGGUUAAGUCCCGCAACGAGCGCAACCCCUACGUUUAGCUGCUAACGCGUGAAGGCGAGCACUCUAGACGAACUGCCGUUGACAAAACGGAGGAAGGUGGGAUGACGUCAAAUCAUCAUGCCCCUUAUGUUCUGGGCUACACACGUGCUACAAUGGCCGGUACAGACGGACGCAAAGCCGCGAGGCGGAGCAAAUCCGAAAAAGCCGGUCUCAGUUCGGAUUGCAGGCUGCAAUUCGCCUGCAUGAAGUCGGAAUCGCUAGUAAUCGCAGGUCAGCAUACUGCGGUGAAUACGUUCCCGGGCCUU
Molecule: ribosomal RNA, 344 nt
Filed under: uncultured Pelotomaculum sp.
Lineage: Bacteria; Bacillati; Bacillota; Clostridia; Eubacteriales; Desulfotomaculaceae
Description: bacterial SSU rRNA
Rfam family: Bacterial small subunit ribosomal RNA
Source: RNAcentral